UGGGUGGUAUCCUUAGGGAACUGCACUGUUUUAUUAUAUUCAACAAGAUUAAUUUUGACUUUAUAUCAAUAUCUGCUCAUAUCACAAUGAAUGAGACUACUAU
Molecule: regulatory RNA element, 103 nt
Organism: Clostridium sp. HMP27
Lineage: Bacteria; Bacillati; Bacillota; Clostridia; Eubacteriales; Clostridiaceae
Rfam family: pan motif
Source: Rfam